CACGUUUCUCUCCUGAUCAGUGUUCCUAAUGUGAUCCACUUCUCCUGGCUGACUGUUCUUCCUCUCUCAAUCAGAAAGUAGCAGGAGGGAGCUGAGACAAAGGGACAGCAAAAACAUCACAGCCUUAAUCUGAGGAAUAUGUAAGGGCAUUGGCCCAGUUCUGAUUCAAAGGAAAGAAUCACCAACAUCCCCUACUGCAGCAUCCCAGGUUUACCUUGGAGGUGUUCCAUCCAAGUACUGAGCAGGCCCGCCAUCCUUUGCUUAUGAGACCUUACAAGAGCACAACCUAUCAUGUCUCAUCACUGUUGGUAUAAGAGCCAUCUCUCUUCUCAUCUGCAAUCAAAGCCAACUGAAAUACUCUUCCGGCAGCUCACUAACUUAGAAUUUCUCUAACUUCUUUCAAAUGUGAGCUGAAAACGUCUUUUCACCCUUAUCAU
Molecule: long non-coding RNA, 437 nt
Organism: Mauremys reevesii (Reeves's turtle)
Lineage: Eukaryota; Metazoa; Chordata; Testudines; Geoemydidae
Exons: 3
Source: RefSeq, a predicted model, not a curated record